This 253-nucleotide ribosomal RNA is filed under the name uncultured bacterium. RNAcentral's name for it is "partial 16S ribosomal RNA". It matches the Rfam family "Bacterial small subunit ribosomal RNA", at positions 524 to 776 of the family's 1533-position model. The record is from RNAcentral.
UACGUAGGGGGCUAGCGUUGUCCGGAAUCAUUGGGCGUAAAGCGCGUGUAGGCGGUCCGGUAAGUCCGCUGUGAAAGUCGGGGGCUCAACCCUCGAAUGCCGGUGGAUACUGUCGGGCUAGAGUGCGGAAGAGGCGAGUGGAAUUCCUGGUGUAGCGGUGAAAUGCGCAGAUAUCAGGAGGAACACCAGCGGCGAAGGCGGCGCUCUGGGCCGGUACUGACGCUGAGGAGCGAAAGCGUGGGGAGCAAACAGG